UACGAAGGGUGCAAGCGUUAUCCGGAUUCAUUGGGUUUAAAGGGUGCGUAGGCGGGGCGUUAAGUCAGUGGUGAAAUCCUGCAGCUUAACUGUAGAAUUGCCAUUGAUACUGGCGCUCUUGAGUACGCUUGACGUGGGCGGAAUGUGCCGUGUAGCGGUGAAAUGCUUAGAUAUGGCACAGAACACCGAUCGCGAAGGCAGCUCACGAAGGCGAAACUGACGCUGAGGCACGAAAGCGUGGGGAUCGAACAGGAUUAGAUACCCUGGUAGUCCACGCUGUAAACGAUGAUCACUCGUGGUCGGCGAUACACGGCCGGUCACCUAGCGAAAGCGUUAAGUGAUCCACCUGGGGAGUACGAUCGCAAGAUUGAA
RNAcentral lists this ribosomal RNA (372 nucleotides) under uncultured bacterium. RNAcentral's name for it is "bacterial SSU rRNA". It matches the Rfam family "Bacterial small subunit ribosomal RNA", at positions 524 to 898 of the family's 1533-position model. The record is from RNAcentral.